Molecule: ribosomal RNA, 352 nt
Filed under: uncultured bacterium
Lineage: Bacteria
Description: bacterial SSU rRNA
Rfam family: Bacterial small subunit ribosomal RNA
Source: RNAcentral
GCUCAGGAUGAACGCUGGCGGCGUGCUUAACACAUGCAAGUCGAGCGAAGCACUUGAGUUUGAUUCUUCGGAUGAAGACUUUUGUGACUGAGCGGCGGACGGGUGAGUAACGCGUGGGUAACCUGCCUCAUACAGGGGGAUAACAGUUAGAAAUGACUGCUAAUACCGCAUAAGACCACGGUACCGCAUGGUACAGUGGUAAAAACUCCGGUGGUAUGAGAUGGACCCGCGUCUGAUUAGGUAGUUGGUGGGGUAACGGCCUACCAAGCCGACGAUCAGUAGCCGACCUGAGAGGGUGACCGGCCACAUUGGGACUGAGACACGGCCCAGACUCCUACGGGAGGCAGCAGUA